Molecule: microRNA precursor, 206 nt
Organism: Oryza sativa Japonica Group (Japanese rice)
Lineage: Eukaryota; Viridiplantae; Streptophyta; Magnoliopsida; Poales; Poaceae
Rfam family: MIR812 microRNA precursor family
Source: Rfam
AAAAAGGCAAACCGUGGGUUUCCGUGCCAACGUUUGACUGUCCAUCUUAUAUGAAAAUUUUUUAUAAUUAGUAUUUUUAUUGUUGUUAGAUGAUAAAACAUGAUUAAUACUUUAUGCGUGACUUAUCUUUUUAAAUUUUUUUUAUAAUUUAUUCAAAUAAGACGGACGGUUAAACGUUAGACACGGAAACCAGGGUUUGUCUUUUU